UUAAAUUGUGAAGUAGAAGAUGUUUGAUAUUUAUAAGCCAGUUGAUAUUAUCAUGCAGAGUCUGACUGCUGUGUUUAAACAGAUAAAGCCUUCUUUAUGCAGAUCCAUCUUUUUUUCUCAUCACAGCUCACUGAUUUCCAUCCAACGUUCUGGACAGACAUUACACACUGACCGUCAGUAGUAGGAGGAGGAGGAGGAGGCUGUGGUGUCCAGUAGCUGAGGGAAGAACAUGAUGUUUAGAUCAAGGCUGAUAGAUUUUAGGAUUCAGAGUGUUUAGGAAUGUGUCUCU
This is a long non-coding RNA of Etheostoma cragini (Arkansas darter), 289 nucleotides long. RefSeq lists it as uncharacterized. The transcript is spliced from 3 exons. NCBI's taxonomy places the organism in Eukaryota, Metazoa, Chordata, Actinopteri, Perciformes, Percidae. The record is from RefSeq and is a predicted model, not a curated record.